RNAcentral lists this ribosomal RNA (435 nucleotides) under uncultured bacterium. Its description in RNAcentral is "partial 16S ribosomal RNA". It matches the Rfam family "Bacterial small subunit ribosomal RNA", at positions 29 to 507 of the family's 1533-position model. The record is from RNAcentral.
AGCGAACACUGGCGGCAGGCUUAACACAUGCAAGUCGAGCGGGCACUUUCGGGUGUCAGCGGCGGACGGGUGAGUAACGCGUGGGAACGUGCCCUCUGGUUCGGAAUAACUCAGGGAAACUUGAGCUAAUACCGGAUACGCCCUUUUGGGGAAAGGCUUGCUGCCGGAGGAUCGGCCCGCGUCUGAUUAGCUAGUUGGUGAGGUAACGGCUCACCAAGGCGACGAUCAGUAGCUGGUCUGAGAGGAUGAUCAGCCACACUGGGACUGAGACACGGCCCAGACUCCUACGGGAGGCAGCAGUGGGGAAUAUUGGACAAUGGGCGCAAGCCUGAUCCAGCCAUGCCGCGUGAGUGAUCAAGGCCUUAGGGUUGUAAAGCUCUUUUAUCCGGGACGAUAAUGACGGUACCGGAGGAAUAAGCCCCGGCUAACUUCGUG